RNAcentral lists this ribosomal RNA (498 nucleotides) under uncultured bacterium. Its description in RNAcentral is "partial 16S ribosomal RNA". It matches the Rfam family "Bacterial small subunit ribosomal RNA", at positions 30 to 523 of the family's 1533-position model. The record is from RNAcentral.
AUUGGACGCUGGCGGCAUGCCUUACACAUGCAAGUCGAACGGUAACAGGUCUUCGGAUGCUGACGAGUGGCGAACGGGUGAGUAAUAUAUCGGAACGUGCCCAGUCGUGGGGGAUAACGCAGCGAAAGCUGUGCUAAUACCGCAUACGAUCUAUGGAUGAAAGCGGGGGAUCGCAAGACCUCGCGCGAUUGGAGCGGCCGAUAUCAGAUUAGGUAGUUGGUGGGGUAAAGGCCUACCAAGCCAACGAUCUGUAGCUGGUCUGAGAGGACGACCAGCCACACUGGAACUGAGACACGGUCCAGACUCCUACGGGAGGCAGCAGUGGGGAAUUUUGGACAAUGGGCGCAAGCCUGAUCCAGCAAUGCCGCGUGCAGGAUGAAGGCCUUCGGGUUGUAAACUGCUUUUGUACGGAACGAAAAGGCUCUGGUUAAUACCUGGGGCUCAUGACGGUACCGUAAGAAUAAGCACCGGCUAACUACGUGCCAGCCGCCGCCGUAA